GACAGAGGUGCCAAGCGUUAGGCGGAAUCACUGGGCUUAAAGCGUGUGUAGGCGGAUCGUUAAGUACCUUGUGAAAUCCCAGGGCUCAACCCUGGAAAGCCGGUGGAUACUGUCGGGCUAGAGUCCGGAAGAGGCGAGUGGAAUUCCUGGUGUAGCGGUGGAAUGCGCAGAUAUCAGGAGGAACACCGAUGGCGAAGGCAGCUCGCUGGGACGGUACUGACGCUGAGGCGCGAAAGCUAGGGGGGAGCAAACAGG
RNAcentral lists this ribosomal RNA (255 nucleotides) under uncultured bacterium. RNAcentral describes it as "partial 16S ribosomal RNA". It matches the Rfam family "Bacterial small subunit ribosomal RNA", at positions 524 to 776 of the family's 1533-position model. The record is from RNAcentral.